Molecule: long non-coding RNA, 571 nt
Organism: Oenanthe melanoleuca
Lineage: Eukaryota; Metazoa; Chordata; Aves; Passeriformes; Muscicapidae
Exons: 2
Source: RefSeq, a predicted model, not a curated record
CAGAAGUGAUUUUACUGAAUGGUAGGGAAGGUGCGGUUUGGAGCAGUCUGAUGUUAAGGCGAGGAGCUCCAAAGGACCACAAAAAACCGUCUGGGUCUUCCCACUGUUUUCCUGCGAGUACAUCCAGUCCUAGCAAACUGUCUGGGAUAUCUCCAAUAACCAUUUGAACAACUACUGGGCUGUGAUCCCCAGGCAAUGUUUAUCUGCAUGCUGUGAGGCAUGGGAGAGCUGCAACAAAUAGUUGCGGUUUCUUUCUUGCUCUAAUUGGUUUUGCAAAAUUUCUACGUGAUUUCUUUCUUGCACUAAUUGGUUUUGUAAAGUUUCUACAUGAUCUGCUUCCUGCUCUAAUAGUUUUUGCACGGCUUCUACCAAGUCUUGCAAAGAGUCUAUAACUGCCUUUUCUUCACUCACUCGUCUGAAACGAGCUUGCACAGCUGCUGAGAGACAAGCACCUAGAACUGUGCAAAGUGUGGUUUUAUUAUUCUUUCUCAGUUUGAAUUUGGUUUCAUGUUGCAAAGAAUGUAUUCUAUCAAUCACAUUUUCUAAAUUACACCAGUUAUUGUAUGCCCAA